RNAcentral lists this unclassified non-coding RNA (354 nucleotides) under Hevea brasiliensis (rubber tree). The record is from RNAcentral. Lineage: Eukaryota; Viridiplantae; Streptophyta; Magnoliopsida; Malpighiales; Euphorbiaceae.
AUUCUAUUUUAUGAAGGAUUUAAUUUAGUGCACUUUGAUCACAAUAAGUAACUUUUCUGUAUACAUCAAGUAAAAAAUUGGCGUGCACACAUGCGCUCACCCACAUACAUGCCUUAUUUUACUUAUACACAGAAUAAAAAAGGUUGUAAGAGGGGAUAUUUUUGCUUAUUAAAAUAACGUAAAUAUAAAGUUGGUUUAAAUGUGUUUCUUUAUGUCCUGUGCCACCACUCAUUUUUCUUUCCCUUCCUUUGCCCCUCUACACGGUUUAGUAGGGCUAUGCACGGUUCCUAGGGGAACCGAACCGAACCGAACCGAAAAGCCAUACUGAACGGACAAGAACUGUACCGAAUCGAA